This is a long non-coding RNA of Gasterosteus aculeatus aculeatus (three-spined stickleback), 2336 nucleotides long. The record is from Ensembl. Lineage: Eukaryota; Metazoa; Chordata; Actinopteri; Perciformes; Gasterosteidae.
GUGAAUAAUUGCUCAACGGUUCCUGGAAUGAUCGUGGAGGUCCUCUGCACCUGUAUCUAACCUUCCACGCCAAGCAUCGCCCACCCGCCAAGACUCACAACCUCAUCAACUCUUCCUCGGCAACGCAGCUUUGACAACGGUGGUAGCGGUGUGUUACACACACACACAUAGGUGUAUAAGGCAUGUCUAAAACCUGAUAGUAUUCCUGGCCCGCUAAACUGACAUUCAUAAACUCAUGGAAACGUGUCAGACUCUCAGAAAAACAGACGAUAAGUUAAUUUUCCAAGACAGGAAUGCUGCGGAGACACGACCGACUGACGGACUCAUCGCUCGCUGGACUUGGCAGCCGGUCUGCGGGAAUCUCAUCGCUUACACGGGAGCAACUGAGAAGUGAAAGGAGCAACGCAAAUACAGCUGACGGAACAAGGGAAGUGCGAAAUAAAAUGCAGCACCAACACACGUCGUGUUUUCAGACGAUGCCGUGUUGCAAAGACGAGAUGAGACAAAUCAGACCUUCACUCUUUCCUGAAGGCCGAUCUACUUCCUGGUACCGACUUCCUGUCGCUCCUACCGUGAUGUCAUGUAGUAUCGCAUUAGGACCUUUAUCGUGGGUUUGAAGGGAUUGACCAGUGCACCAUGUGACAGCUCUGCAUCGGAUGCACAUUGUCAGGGGAUCCUGGAACUCAGUGUGACACAAUUAUUUAAAUCACAUUCAAUCCCGUAGACAUUUAUAACCAGUUCUUCAGCAGUAAUGUUGUAAAAAAAGGGAAUAAAUGAAAUUUGUGUUUUGGCUCCAACUGCAACAGCGACGUUUUAUUGACACGUUGGAGGUUUUUUUUCAUCGUCGGUAUUCAUGGGGUUAAUGUUUCCUUUUAAUGACUUCUGAUCUCGGACCAAAAUAAAUGUGUUCGCAUUUGAUUGGUUAUUGAUUGGAAGGGUCUUGGAACGUCAGACAAUAUCUGUAGAAAACAUUUUUUGGUGGAUUAAUAUUGGCCAGAAUUGCAUCCAAAUAAUGUGGCUAUUCACUUCUCGGCAAUCCCGUUCAAAGGAAAACGUGCCUUUCGAUUACCUUUUGCACUCUUGCUUUGCUGAAUAUUAUCCAGGCUGACAGGAACACGGAGGAAGCAAGCCAGUUGUAACACACGUGUCUUCAUUGAUCUCUCAUCCUGCUCAUUCUGGCAUCAAAUGUCCCCACAAAGAAAAUCAAAGGAUGCAGCGCUUUCAUUUUUCACUUUUUCAUGAAGAACGUUUUUGCUCAGCCAUCAGUGCCAAAAUCCUGCAGCCGCUUCACCCUGCAGGGGCGUAGACGCCGCCGGAGUAGAAGACCCUCAGCUGCGACCACCUGACCAGGAUUGUGAGCAAAAUAUUUUGUGACUGAUUUGAUGUCACUCAAGGACAAACGGGGGGGAAAAAAAGAGCAUUUCUUGCUGUAGAUUCUCCAUUCAAAUGGUAAUGUGCAGCUUCAAAUCCUGCUUAAAAAAGUCUAAAUGCCAGCGCCACAUAAGGGGGCUUUCAGGUGACGUACACUUUGUAGUGCCGCCAUGUUGAAGGUCUCCGUCUGUAAGCCAGCUUUAGCCGUCGAGUCGCUGGUGGAUGACAGCCACGGGGUUAAACAGGGACUCUGCUUCAGUUGCGUCGUUAAAACUGAGCUGCUGACGUGAUCGUUAGCGGAGCGCGGCGCCUCAGCUCCACGCACGCGUAUGCAUGGAUAAGCUCCGCCCUCAGCAGGAAAUAGGAGAAAAUACGACGGCACAAACACGGCGAAGACUCGAGCAAAGAACUGAUUGUGUGCCGCCUGCAGUGCUUUUUAUUUUAAAAAUAAUUGAAACACACUCAAUUGCUCAUCGUGGCACCGAGUACUGUUGCUAAGAGACUUGUGAAGUGGAUGCAAGGCUUCAUUUAUUGAAAUAUGUCCGGCAAAUCACAUUGCCUGGUCUCGUAUUCCAUUUAUACAUUAAGCAGAACGCAGCCCUACUGAUCAGAGAGUGGACUGGGGCAAAAACAUGCACACGUAAUGGAAAUGCUCCUUCACAAAGUGCCGCGGCUGAUUAACUCAAGAUUACGCUUUUGGAAAGGUGUGAGAUUGGCAUAUAUCGGGUACAUUGGUACUGUAAUGAAUGGAAUAGCAACCUGAAACCAAUUAAGAUUCACACUGGGAUGACUGUCCUCCCUCUGGGGGUCUUUGUGCUGCAAUAAGUUCCUAAUUGCUGAGGCCCCUGUCUUUUUAUCUCUCUUUUUUAUCUCCACAUUGCAAAGCUAAUGUUAAUUUGAAGCAAGUGCGGUUGAUUAAAGAGUGACUUUAAUCAGGAUUUGGAAUCGUAUGCACUCCCAGCCCU